Molecule: small nucleolar RNA, 107 nt
Filed under: Sorghum bicolor (sorghum)
Lineage: Eukaryota; Viridiplantae; Streptophyta; Magnoliopsida; Poales; Poaceae
Description: Plant small nucleolar RNA R71
Source: Rfam by way of RNAcentral
UUCCCAGGUGAGGACAAUCUGAUAUGUAUCCUUGAAAACACUCCCAUACUUCUAGAAUGGUUUCUGUCUUCUGUUGUUGGAAACUGACAAUAUUUCCUCUUAAGGUA